GACAGAGGUGCCAAGCGUUAGGCGGAAUCACUGGGCUUAAAGCGUGUGUAGGCGGAUUUGUAAGUACCUUGUGAAAUCCCACGGCUCAACCGUGGAACUGCUCGGUAUACUGCGAGUCUUGAGCCACUUAGGGGCUACCGGAACAAAUGGUGGAGCGGUGAAAUGCGUAGAUAUCAUUUGGAACGCCAAUGGUGAAAACAGGUAGCUGGGAGUGUGCUGACGCUGAGACACGAAAGCCAGGGGAGCGAACGGG
RNAcentral lists this ribosomal RNA (253 nucleotides) under uncultured bacterium. RNAcentral describes it as "partial 16S ribosomal RNA". It matches the Rfam family "Bacterial small subunit ribosomal RNA", at positions 524 to 776 of the family's 1533-position model. The record is from RNAcentral.